Molecule: long non-coding RNA, 543 nt
Organism: Ornithorhynchus anatinus (platypus)
Lineage: Eukaryota; Metazoa; Chordata; Mammalia; Monotremata; Ornithorhynchidae
Exons: 2
Source: RefSeq, a predicted model, not a curated record
CGUGGGGGACAAUGGAACAGCGGAAGUCAGCUCGUUCCCAAAGCGCUUUCCGCUAUCGGAAUUCGAUGGCCCAUCAAGUCAAACCGAUCGCUUUCGGAAGACGAGAAGAAUGAAUCCACGACCCGUUCCGGAUUCAUUUCCCCUCAUCUAUCAGUUGCCGCCUUGAAGUUUUAAUCACGGGUUGUCUUCUUCUGUUCCAGGUUGAAUGCCUCUCUCUGGCCCAGGGAGCCCCGCGGGCCAGCGGAGACGGUUAUUUAUGAAGCCAGCGGAAGAAUCGCGGGCCCGAGAGUCCGAGGAUGUAACCUUGUGGAACAAAUGACUGCAUUACUCGAAUACGGCAUUGGAUCAAACAGGACAAUUCUUUGAAAAAUUGAGUUCUCUGUGGCAAUCCGAGACCCGUAAUCAGCAAAUUAGAUGAUUACAGCGGGGAUAAAAAUAGUUCUCCGACAAUGUCCAAGGUGCGGACGUGAUCUGAAUCUCAAAAACGUUCACCGUGAGGCAGGAAGACGGGCGGCUCGGUAAACACGACUAGACGCGAUCGGA